AAGUGCCCUUAUAUUUAAACCUUGCUGUCCCUCUAGGUUUUAGUUGUUUUUCCACCUUAAUUGCAAGGUGAACUAACUCCUCAAGCUCCACAUAAUGUUGCAACUCUACCCUAUCAUCAAUCUCCUUAUUAAGCCCACCAAUGAAUCGUGCCAUGGUAGCUUCUCUAUCCUUAUCCAAAUCAGCCCUAGUCAUGAGCAUUUCCAUCUCCUUAUAAUAAUCC
RNAcentral lists this long non-coding RNA (221 nucleotides) under Ricinus communis (castor bean). Its description in RNAcentral is "long non-coding RNA (RCOM_LNC003423)". Lineage: Eukaryota; Viridiplantae; Streptophyta; Magnoliopsida; Malpighiales; Euphorbiaceae. The record is from RNAcentral.